This 401-nucleotide ribosomal RNA is filed under the name uncultured bacterium. RNAcentral describes it as "bacterial SSU rRNA". It matches the Rfam family "Bacterial small subunit ribosomal RNA", at positions 355 to 774 of the family's 1533-position model. The record is from RNAcentral.
UGGGGGAUAUUGCACAAUGGGCGCAAGCCUGAUGCAGCGACGCCGCGUGAGGGAAGACGGUCUUCGGAUUGUAAACCUCUGUCUUCGGGGACGAUAAUGACGGUACCCGAGGAGGAAGCCACGGCUAACUACGUGCCAGCAGCCGCGGUAAUACGUAGGUGGCGAGCGUUGUCCGGAAUUACUGGGUGUAAAGGGAGCGUAGGCGGGAAGACAAGUUGGACGUUAAAUUUAUCGGCUUAACCGGUAACCGCGUUCAAAACUGUUUUUCUUGAGUGAAGUAGAGGUUGGCGGAAUUCCUAGUGUAGCGGUGAAAUGCGUAGAUAUUAGGAGGAACACCAGUGGCGAAGGCGGCCAACUGGGCUUUAACUGACGCUGAGGCUCGAAAGCGUGGGGAGCAAACA